This is a long non-coding RNA of Papilio xuthus (Asian swallowtail), 187 nucleotides long. RefSeq lists it as uncharacterized. The transcript is spliced from 4 exons. NCBI's taxonomy places the organism in Eukaryota, Metazoa, Arthropoda, Insecta, Lepidoptera, Papilionidae. The record is from RefSeq and is a predicted model, not a curated record.
AAAUAUCGCAAUACAUUGGUAACGUAAACUUUACAUCAUAAACAGUUUGUGAAUAAGUAACAUAAAAUAACGAAAAUGUGGCUCCGACCCUUUAUCUACGUAAUUUGGAUAUAUGCCAUCGUUACUACAGCACAAGAUCCAGCACCUGACAGCACUACUGAACCUGCAAGCUCUAAUUCACCUGUGA